AUGGGCUGAGUGAGGGAGAGGGCAGCUGGGCUCCAGAGGGACGAGACAGAGGCAGAGCAAGGAGCCCUAGGGAAAGAAGUGGACAGAUGGCCUUAUCAGUGAUUAUCAUCACUUGUGCGGUCCUAUCAAUCUACCUAUGCAUUUCUACACCACCUCUCACCAGAGUGCUUAGCUCCUCUCCUCCCUAAGCAAUGAGGUUAAUAUUGAAGUGGCUGUUUCUAGCUGCUUCAGAUCGCUGCCGUCUUGACUGCCCUGCAGUGAUGGACUUUAACUCUGCAAUUGUGAGCUAAAUAAACCCUUUGCCCCUUA
Long non-coding RNA from Peromyscus leucopus (white-footed mouse), 309 nucleotides. RefSeq lists it as uncharacterized. The transcript has 3 exons. NCBI's taxonomy places the organism in Eukaryota, Metazoa, Chordata, Mammalia, Rodentia, Cricetidae. The record is from RefSeq and is a predicted model, not a curated record.